GAUUAAUUAGUUUAUUAAAAAUAUUAGUUUGUGGAACUAAAGAAUUUAUUAGUCA
RNAcentral lists this transfer RNA (55 nucleotides) under Sancassania berlesei. RNAcentral describes it as "tRNA-His". The record is from RNAcentral. Lineage: Eukaryota; Metazoa; Arthropoda; Arachnida; Sarcoptiformes; Acaridae.